RNAcentral lists this ribosomal RNA (1417 nucleotides) under Triticum aestivum (bread wheat). RNAcentral's name for it is "partial small subunit ribosomal RNA". The record is from RNAcentral. Lineage: Eukaryota; Viridiplantae; Streptophyta; Magnoliopsida; Poales; Poaceae.
CCAACUCGAAUCUCCCACUCCCAACCGCCCGGCGGACCUUCCCGAGCCUUCGCCACGCAAUGGCAAUGCAGCCUCCCCCCUCCGGGGACGACGCGCGCGAGGCGGACGCGCUCCUCCCGCGGAGCGACUCCGCCGGCCGCCGCCGCUCGUCGCCCGUGCAGUCCGCGUCCCCGAGGCCCCCGGGCUCGGCCGGCCCCAGGAGGCAGUCGUCCUUCCGCCACGACGUCGGCCAUGCCGCCUGCGAGACCUACCUCGUCACGCGCCUCACCUUCACCCUGCUCCAGUACCUCGGGUUACCGCUGGAUGAGGCAGCUUCUUGCCCUCGCAAUCUAUGCCAUUCUACUUAUGCCAGGUUUUUUGCAAGUUGGAUAUUACUAUUUCUUUUCAAGUCAGGUUCGUAGAAGUAUAGUUUAUGGAGAACAACCGAGAAACAGGUUGGAUUUGUAUAUACCCAAAGAUAAUAGAAGACCCUGUCCCGUGGUGGCCUUUGUAACUGGUGGGGCCUGGAUUAUUGGUUACAAGGCAUGGGGUGCCCUUCUUGGCAGGCGGUUGGCUGAGAGAGGAAUCAUAGUUGCUUGCAUUGAUUAUAGAAAUUUUCCUCAAGGAACAAUAAGUGACAUGGUUAGCGAUGCUUCUCAGGGGAUCUCAUUCGUGUGUAACAACAUUGCUAGUUAUGGAGGUGAUCCUAAUCAGAUCUACUUGAUGGGUCAGUCAGCAGGAGCACAUAUUUCAGCAUGUGCCCUAAUGGAACAGGCAGUAAAAGAGUCUAGCGGACAGCCCAUUUCUUGGAGUGUUACACAAAUCAACGCAUACUUUGGUUUAUCUGGAGGAUACAACAUCCAUAAUUUGGUCGACCAUUUCCAUCAGCGUGGUCUGAACCGUUCAAUAUUUCUCAGUAUAAUGGAGGGAGAAGAAUCAUUGUCACGUUAUUCUCCUGAAAUUGUUGUCAAGGAGUCAAGUGCCCGGACCAUAGCUCUACUUCCUCGUAUCUUUCUUAUGCAUGGAACAGAUGAUUAUUCAAUACCAUCAUCUUCCAGUCGAACUUUUGUAGACGUCCUUCAACAAGCUGGUGCCCAGGCCACAUUAUUAUUGUACGAAGGGAAAACACAUACAGAUAUAUUUAUACAGGAUCCUCUUAGGGGUGGAAGGGAUCCUUUGGUUGAAGAUGUCUUUUCUGUUAUUUAUGCCGAUGAUGCAACUUGCCGAAAUGCAGCUUCUGCGCCAACUCCAAGGCGCCUGGUUUUUGAGUGGCAAUUGCAGUUGGCCCGUUGGAUUAGUCCCUUCUAGAAGACGACACCACAGAGAUGAUGAUUCUUAGGGUCUCGGGUGAUUGGUGUUUGUGUUAUUGUAUUUGCCAAUCAAAGCCAAACAAACACACGUAAAAUGGGAGAAAGCAGUGAAACAUCAAGCAGGAUAA